GACGAACGCUGGCGGCGUGCUUAACACAUGCAAGUCGAACGGAAAGGCCAUGAUCUUGUUGGUUGCUUGAGUGGCGAACGGGUGAGUGACACGCGUGUAACCUGCCCCUGACUUUGGGAUAACUUCAGGGAACUGGGGCUAAUACAGGAUAGAAGCUCUUGCAGCGUGGUGGUGGAUGGUAAGAUACGGUGGUUGGGGAUGGAAUCGCGGGUUAUCCGCUGGUUGGGGGGGUUGUGGCUUACCAAGGCUUUGACGGGUAGCCGGCCUGAGAGGGGGACCGGCCACAUUGGGACUGAGAUACGGCCCAGACUCCUACGGGAGGCAGCAGUGGGGAAUAUUGCACAAUGGGCGGAAGCCUGAUGCAGCAACGCCGCGUGCGGGAUGACGGCCUUCGGGUUGUAAACCGCUUUCGCCUGUGACGAAGCGUGAGUGACGGUAAUGGGUAAAGAAGCACCGGCUAACUACGUG
This 468-nucleotide ribosomal RNA is filed under the name uncultured bacterium. RNAcentral describes it as "partial 16S ribosomal RNA". It matches the Rfam family "Bacterial small subunit ribosomal RNA", at positions 28 to 507 of the family's 1533-position model. The record is from RNAcentral.